This 224-nucleotide long non-coding RNA is filed under the name Volvox carteri. RNAcentral describes it as "long non-coding RNA (VCAR_LNC000523)". The record is from RNAcentral. Lineage: Eukaryota; Viridiplantae; Chlorophyta; Chlorophyceae; Chlamydomonadales; Volvocaceae.
CAUGCCGUGUGUGUUGAGCAUCGCACUCCUCCUAUUUAACAAGCCGCCGCAGCCGCGCACAGCAGCAGGCGGGCCGCGCCGCUGCGCACAACAUGUAUGGCCGCAACCGAAAAAACUCGCGCGCGCGCGCGGAAUUCAUAUCGCUCAAAGUUUAGGACAACUUCUUAUACUAUAUCCACGCACAAUAUGAUCGAUUAUUACAUCUUGCCAACUGCAAUUCCGUG